GUCACUUCAUUAAUGCAAAUAUGCAGUUGUGUUCAUCAGUGUAAGGAGUACAAUACUUUCCACGGAAUCACACUGCUGACAAUUUGGCCCAGGUCAAAAGGGGCAUGAUGGAGGACUGGGCCAUAAACAACAAAGUAAAGUCUUAUGACCCGUGGCAGCAUUUGGAUGAUGGGGUGGGGAGACUGAAAAGAAGUGCAACAGCAGAUGCUAUAUCUGAAGUCCAGCGAUACCUGGCA
Long non-coding RNA from Hippocampus comes (tiger tail seahorse), 236 nucleotides. RefSeq lists it as uncharacterized. NCBI's taxonomy places the organism in Eukaryota, Metazoa, Chordata, Actinopteri, Syngnathiformes, Syngnathidae. The record is from RefSeq and is a predicted model, not a curated record. The transcript is spliced from 3 exons.